GCAGUAGUAGUAGUGGUAGUAGUAGUGGUAGUAGUAGUGGUAGUAGUAGUGGUAGUAGUAGCAGUAGCAGGAGCAGUAGUGGUAGUGGUAGUAGUAGUGGUAGUGGUAGUAGUAGUAGUAGUAGUAGUAGUAGUAGUAGUAGUAGUAGUAGUAGUAGUAGUAGUAGUAGUAGUAGUAGUAGUAGUAGUAGUAGUAGUAGUAGUAGUAGUAGUAGGAGCAGCAGCAGCAGCAGCAGUAGCAGCAGCAGCAGUAGUAGCAGCAGUAGCAGGAGUAGUAGCAGGAGGAGGAGUAGUAGCAGGAGUAGCAGGAG
This 310-nucleotide long non-coding RNA is filed under the name Hordeum vulgare. Its description in RNAcentral is "long non-coding RNA (HVUL_LNC021608)". The record is from RNAcentral. Lineage: Eukaryota; Viridiplantae; Streptophyta; Magnoliopsida; Poales; Poaceae.